Molecule: ribosomal RNA, 468 nt
Filed under: uncultured bacterium
Lineage: Bacteria
Description: partial 16S ribosomal RNA
Rfam family: Bacterial small subunit ribosomal RNA
Source: RNAcentral
GACGAACGCUGGCGGCGUGCUUAACACAUGCAAGUCGAACGGAAAGGCCCUGCUUUUGUGGGGUGCUCGAGUGGCGAACGGGUGAGUAACACGUGAGUAACCUGCCCUUGACUUUGGGAUAACUUCAGGAAACUGGGGUUAAUACCGGAUAGGAGCCCCUGUUGCAUGGUGGGGGUUGGAAAGUUUCGGCGGUUGGGGAUGGACUCGCGGCUUAUCAGCUUGUUGGUGGGGUAGUGGCUUACCAAGGCUUUGACGGGUAGCCGGCCUGAGAGGGUGACCGGCCACAUUGGGACUGAGAUACGGCCCAGACUCCUACGGGAGGCAGCAGUGGGGAAUAUUGCACAAUGGGCGGAAGCCUGAUGCAGCAACGCCGCGUGCGGGAUGACGGCCUUCGGGUUGUAAACCGCUUUCGCCUGUGACGAAGCGUGAGUGACGGUAAUGGGUAAAGAAGCACCGGCUAACUACGUG